This 191-nucleotide ribosomal RNA is filed under the name uncultured bacterium. RNAcentral describes it as "partial 16S ribosomal RNA". It matches the Rfam family "Bacterial small subunit ribosomal RNA", at positions 1310 to 1500 of the family's 1533-position model. The record is from RNAcentral.
ACUCGACUGCAUGAAGCUGGAAUCGCUAGUAAUCGCGAAUCAGAAUGUCGCGGUGAAUACGUUCCCGGGCCUUGUACACACCGCCCGUCACACCAUGGGAGUUGGAAGCACCCGAAGUCGGUGACCUGACCGAAAGGGAGGAGCCGCCGAAGGUGAAGCCAGCGACUGGGGUGAAGUCGUAACAAGGUAGC